RNA transcript from Stomoxys calcitrans (stable fly), 5175 nucleotides. RefSeq lists it as uncharacterized. The transcript has 2 exons. Lineage: Eukaryota; Metazoa; Arthropoda; Insecta; Diptera; Muscidae. The record is from RefSeq and is a predicted model, not a curated record.
UGCAACGUUGCAUGAACUUCGUGCGAAUUUUCAUAACCAACCCCCUCUCGAAACUAAAGCUCACCCAUUCAAAGCGGAAAGAAUUUAACGGAAAUUUGAAUUUUGAAACUUCUCAACAAACCAAAACAAAAAAUGGAAAAUGUAAAUAAAUAGAACUUACAUAUCAUAAGUCAAUACAGCAAUUGUGAAAAGAACAGAAUAAAGUGCAGUGCAUUGAAAACAAUAACCAGAAAAAUAAAUACAAAACAGAAAAGGAAGAAGAGAAGAAAAGGUUAAAUCACUGAUUAACCAGCAACCUUAAAUACGUGUUUGAAAUACAAACAAAUUCUGCAAAGGCAGCAAAAACGCAAACAGUUUAAGUCAAUCAAAACCAAAAAUAGGUGAUCGCCGACAUAUGGCCCCAAGAGGUGGUGCCCAGUGCUUGCUGACUGACUAGUUGUUAUAUUAUCUAAGAGUUGUGACAAAUUGGUGCGUGCGAGUUAAGCAUUAAGUGGCCUAAAAACUAAAACACCGCGGUGUUUAAACUACUACGGGCGACAAACACGCCGUCUGCAUGCAAUGAUCUAAAAAUAUUGUUUUUAUUGUUUGUUAGGGUAGUAGUAAGCCGUAAAAAGUUAAAUGAAAUCAAAAGUGUAGACAUGCUAAAACCAGUUGCAAUUUCAAGCACGUUCACUUAGCCAAGUUAAAAACAAAUCACAGCGCAUCGGUAACAUCCAUCCAUCCAUCUAUCCAGCACAGGCAUUCGAAUUACUCGUUUGUCGCUUCCUCACCCCAGAAAGACUUUGAAGCUCUCUAAAGACAGACAUCGAGAGAGAGAGAGAGCGGAUUACAACACAACUCGAGCGACAAGUAACAAAAAAAAAAACACAAAAAACAAUAUUCAUCAUUAAAAUUCAAAAACCAGAAAAACGCCAAACAUUUAUCGUUAUAACGUAAUAAACCAUCGAUCAAUGAACGCUGAACGUUCAAUGAACGUUGCCGCUAAAGAAUUGCUUAGUGUCUAAAUUGGUGUUUUUUAACGACAAUUCCCAAUAAUAAAGAAGAAGAAGAAGAGGAAGAAAAAACAUACACGAAAGUGCAAUCCACCAAAUAGAUUCAGUGUUUGAGGGAGAAACAAAAAAACAAAGAAGAGAGUGUCACACAACAACAGUUCAUAGUAAAAGUGACGUAGAGUGAAAGAGUGCGCGGUGUCGCGUCUACGUUCGACAUAGAAACAGACAUUACCGUUGUAGCCACGACCUUGAAACAUUAAAAAGGCCACACCACAACGAACCAACACUUUGACAAGCGGCCGACAAUUGUGCGCUGGGGCGCCAUCUAGAAAGUGAAAGUGAACAAAUCUUCAAUGUUUGUCGUAUUGGGUUUCCCACACAGUGAUUUGAGGUUGCAAUAGCAGCCGUUGUAAACUUUACGAAAAACUUUUUUCAAACUUCACGAUCUAGACGCUUUUUUGUUGGAGUGCAAGGCAACAAUUGCUUUGAUGUUUGGUUCACACAAAAUCUGCAAGACGAAACUCUCAAAAUCAACUCAAACAAUCGAGUGAACACGAGAAAAAAGUAGCAGAAAUUGAACAAGUUUUUAAUGCAAGCACGAACCCAUUUGCCAGCCAUCAAAAAAGCCAUUAGUCCGAAGACUUCACUCUAUUUUACUCUACACCAUUCACUAUUAUUCCUCGUGCGCUGCCAGCUGUAACUCUGCCUCAAUUGUACUGAAGUUCAAGUUUGAAUUUGGCAAAGCAAAAUCUACAAAAAUCGACGAGCACACCAAACAAUUAUUUAUUAAUCAAAAAAGGAAAAAAAACUAAGCGAAGUAGUUUUGCAAGACAACAAACAACAAAAAAGGAUUGCAAAAUUUUUACAACACUGUUUCUCAUAGAAACGAUUAGGAAUUUUUUAAAUUUUAAAAUGAGUGAUCAGGAAAAUCCUUCCUCCGCCCCAACUCAACCGCCUCCUAGCAUGCCUAAGGCAGAGGAGAUAAUAGAUCUUACUAAAGCGGAGGGCACUCCAAAUGCCAAUGACUCGGAUGAUCAGUGGCCUGCUGGUAUGGAUGCUGAUGUCUGCGAGAUUCGCAGUCAGCACAUUACGAACGGCCAUACAUUCGUGGUGACCACAGUUCGUACGGAAACCACUACGGUGUCCUCAAGCAGCUCCAGCGUUGAAGCUGGCAAGCAGCACUCAGAGGAUGAUCUUAAAGCGGUGCCUAUCGCGAUUAAGGAGAAGCCCCGCGAAGAAGAGGAUAUGGAGAAACCUUGCUCUAGCAGUUCCUGUUCAUCCCCAGAACAUAGUACCAAAGCAGUAGUACCUCUAUCCUCGUCGUUGCCCUCAAAACUCUUGAGGUUCCAUGCCAAACGCUCGGCUCAAGCCUUAUUGCAGCAAUUGGAUUCUCAGACACAAUCCUUGGACUCACAAUUUGGCAGUGAUGAGGGCAUGCCAGGAGCCUGCAGCGAUGAUGACAAUAGCAUAGAGGCUUCAGCGCCACCCAUGUCGCCACCACCCCCUCGUAAUUCACCCUCGGAAAAUGGUGAUGAAAAAAUCGAUGUUGGCAUGGGCUCUUCCAUUGAAGGCUCUGAAGAAUCUGAGGAAGAUGAUGAGCUGAAACCUCUGGCUGUGGACAACCACGUGCUGCAUGAUAUCGAUUUGACAUCACCCUCAACUUUAACUUCCAUUUCCGGUGAUUGCAGCACUAUAACCUCUUGCAACACCACCACAACCGCAGUAUUAAGUGAGGCUAAUCUAGAAAAAUUCCGCAAAAAUCAUCAACCUGGAUCUCAUCACCAUCCCCAUAUGGAUAACAUUUACUUGCAUCCGAACUUUAAAUAUGAACAAGCCUCGAAUAGUGAAGUCGCAAAUACUUCAAGCAUUGCCGCCGACCAAAAACGAGUACACCGUUCAUUUUUGACCAUGAAGAAGAGUUCGAGUCAAGAAGCUCCCGUUGAGGUAGCCAACUCCGUGGUGUCUCAAGCUACCACAGUAUCGGUGGACAAUAAAUCUCUGGUGAAUGAAAUCGACACCUUGGAUCCCUCUCUCAUACCCAGUGACGAGUUGGCAGCUGAAAUCACCGAAGCAGUGGAAUUCUACUUCUCCAAUGAGUCCAUACUCAAGGAUGCUUUCCUCUUGAAGCAUGUCAAACGCAACAAGGAGGGAUUUGUAAGUCUCAAAUUGGUUUCCAGCUUUAAGCGGGUGCGUCAAUUGACCAAAGAAUGGAAGGUGGUGGGCAAUGCUGUGCGCCGCAAAUCUCAGAAAAUCGAAUUAAACGAUGUGGGUACCAAGGUGCGUCGCAGGGAACCCUUGCCCAAUUUCGAUGAGACCAUGCCCUCGCGAACAAUUGUGGUAUGUGACCUGCCCAUGGAUAAGCUAACCAUAGAGAAGGUUUCCGAUUUGUUCUCGAAAUGUGGAGAAAUUGCCUUGAUACGAAUUCUCAAGCCAGGCAUGGCCAUACCCGUAGAUGUGCGCCAAUUCAUGAAUAAAUACCCCGAAAUGCAGCAGAAGGAAUGUGCUCUAGUCGAAUAUUUGGAGUCGGCUUCGGCCCGAGAGGCUCGCAAUCUACAGGGCCCCUUUAAGGUCUUCGAAAUGGUGGCACCCAAAAAGAAGACCGGCAAGAAAGCUGUCAUUCAAGUCACCGCCCCUGUGGUGCGUAUGGUCGAAAACUAUCGUUACUUCAAUGACCACAACUAUGAACGUACACGCGGUGGCAGUUUCAGUGGCAGCGCCAUGCCCCACGAAUUUGACUUACGCUACCGCUUGAAGCGCAACAAUUCCGAUUUUACACCCAAAACCUAUGCUACGGAUGUGCAGAAUACUUAUGUUAGCGGAGGGGGUGUAGGAGGUGGAGCUACUACCAAUCCUUAUCACCACGCCCCUGCUCAUUACAAUGGGGCUCAUCGCGGCAGUUUCCCAAGUGAACAACAGUACCAACAUCAACCAACUGCUCCGACAUACCAUCAUCACCAUUAUCAACCCAGGGGCAGCAUCAGCCAGGAGGUUGGACCCCAAAGUCCCAUUUCGCCAGGCAACAAUCAGAACUUCUUUGCCUACAAUCCAAGGCGUUAUAGCAACACCUCAACCAUUUCGGCUAGCACAGCUAAUAUGGAGCCAUCGAAACCAAUGCAUCAACAUGUCACAAACGUGCCAGCUGGCGGUGGCUCAGGUCACAAUUUACAAAGACGUCUCUCCAAUUGUUCCCAAGAAGGCGGCUAUGCCGAUGUGGUACGACGCACUUCGAAUUGUUCAGACAACGCACCAUCACGACGUGACUCCAAUUGUUCGGACAAUUGUCCUUGCUCAAGGCGCAUAUCAGACUAUGGCCAGACCAAUGAGGCAUACCGCAAGUCAUCGCUGGGCUCGAUGGGCAGCAACAGUGAACGACGCUUCUCCAAUGGUUCUAUGCAAUUCGAGAGAACCUUCUCGAAUGCAAGUGAUUUAAAUAAUGCCACCACGACCACCAAUAACGGUGGUAGCAGCAAUGGCAAUAGUUAUCAUCGCCGCAUGUCCAACGAUUUCAACUUGGAUCGUAAGCAGUCUCUGGAUACCCAACCGGGCACACCCUAUGAAGAUCCCAGUGUGGGUGGCGGCGGUGGUGGCUACAAUGUUUUUCCCCGCCGCUAUUCCAAUAACUUCAAUAACAUUAGCAGUAAAUUGGCUCAAUACGAUAAUGCCCAGUACAUCAAUGGACGCCGUAUUUCCACUGAUUCUGGUUACGAUCGCCGCUUCUCGUUCGGCUCAGAGUAUGAGGGCUCACCACGGUCACGUACCGGUAGUUUCUUGAACAACUAUAAGCACAGCGGAGCCUCAGAUAGUUUUGAUGGCCAGCCGCGUUCACGCACCGGUAGUUUCAUAGAUGGCUCGCCACGUUCACGCUCCGGCUCGUUUGCUACGCGAGCCGCCGAACACUUGGUGCGCACUCCCAUCGGCCCGGAUGGCAGCAAGGGUUUCGGUUUUCGAGGACGUAAAAUUGAGCAGACAAUAGGACCGGCGUGAGAGGCCGAAUCGCAUUGGGGAAGCCUGGGGAUUUUUAGGGAUAGGUAAGAUAAAAUGAGCGUACAACUUUUUGUUUUAUUUUAUUUAGAUUUAAGAGAACAUAAAUUAAAAAUAAUUAUAUAUUUUAUUGUUAUUAUAUAUUAUUACUAUUAUCGUAGAAACUCAAAUAAAUAAAAAGUAAUUAUUUUUGUAUAGUAAA